AAUUUUGAAACACUAUAAAUUCUCUUAAAAAUUUGUUAUUAACACGUGUAAUUUGUUCGCUUACACUUAUUCCGACGACGGUCAGUAAAAAAUGAGAAAAUUCACAAAGUGCGCCACACACUACCAACAAAUCUCAGUUUUCUAAUUUAUCUUUCGAGGCAUAUGCGGCGCUUGCGGCAACGCCUGAAAGCACGGGUAUGGAGUUAGGGCGUGUUCGAGCUGCGGCAUCACCUUCUGCCACUAAAUUUCUGCAACAAUGGCAGUGUCACCCGUUCUGCCACUAAAUUUCUGCAACAAUGGCAGCGUCACCCGUUCUUUGAAUAAAAUUCUGACAAUCUGAUAGUCAACACUAGCUAAUUAAGCGCAAUAUCCAAGUUUUCACUGCGGAUUUGGAAUGGAAGAGGAAUACGCAAAAUUAAGUACAAAUGCAACUAAGUUAUCGGUCUUUUUUUUUGUGUUUUUUUUUGUUCAAACAACACGAUUCUCGCGAAAUAACUUCUACAACAGGCCAUCAGAAAAGUAACAGCGACGUAAUAUCGCUGUAAUUAUUGAGUGAGGCAAAAACAUCCAAAUUGGGCCGUAUGAAUCGAAAAUCACAAAAAAUCAUGCGGCAUCCGCGUUUGGUAUAUUUGUAUAUAAUAUAUUGUAUAAUGUGGUAUUUUUCCGUUAAUACGGAAUUUUAUGUAACUCAAUU
This is a long non-coding RNA of Anastrepha ludens (Mexican fruit fly), 694 nucleotides long. RefSeq lists it as uncharacterized. The record is from RefSeq and is a predicted model, not a curated record. NCBI's taxonomy places the organism in Eukaryota, Metazoa, Arthropoda, Insecta, Diptera, Tephritidae. The transcript has 3 exons.